AGCAGGUAGGGGUGUCAGUUAACAUUUGGUAAAGGACAGUAAUGUGUCGACUUCAAAACCAAACUUUUCAUGCUCUGUGCCAAUUCUGUAAAGGACAGAUGUUUACUUUGGGAUAGACUGAAUAGCCAACUGAUUUUUUAAAAUAAAAUAAGAAAAUACAGGGACAGCUUGAAUAAAUCAAUAAUUACCAGAAUGUUGAUGCUAGCUCAAAUAACUUGAACACAGUUACAAGAUAUAAUGGUUACCAAGUAAUCAUCACAAAAUAAUAAGAAUAAAAGAUAAGGG
This 285-nucleotide long non-coding RNA is filed under the name Sorghum bicolor (sorghum). Its description in RNAcentral is "long non-coding RNA (SBIC_LNC007662)". Lineage: Eukaryota; Viridiplantae; Streptophyta; Magnoliopsida; Poales; Poaceae. The record is from RNAcentral.